AGAGAGCGUUAUCAAUCAUUGACCCGAGUAAAACCUGUGAUGCUAAUAUGGGCCAAUUGGCGGUUUAACCACCUUACAUAACAGACGCCAGGAACUCUGCGAUAACCAGUUUGAAAGAAUCUCAGUACCCUCGCACAAACUCUUCAGUCUUUUACCGCCAAGACAUGGCCCCAAUCUAAAUCUUCGUAAGUACCAUGAGUAUGAUCUUCCACGAAUUCAGACACUCCUUCAUCCCAGCAACGUUUGCGAAAAAGUUUUUAAAGAC
Non-coding RNA from Paramuricea clavata, 265 nucleotides. Lineage: Eukaryota; Metazoa; Cnidaria; Anthozoa; Malacalcyonacea; Plexauridae. The record is from the annotation of a GenBank genome assembly.